GGGGCGGAUGUAGCCAAGUGGAUUAAGGC
RNAcentral lists this transfer RNA (29 nucleotides) under Cardamine flexuosa (woodland bittercress). RNAcentral describes it as "partial tRNA-His". Lineage: Eukaryota; Viridiplantae; Streptophyta; Magnoliopsida; Brassicales; Brassicaceae. The record is from RNAcentral.